ACCGCUAAAAAAUGCCUAGGCACAAAGGCUUCCUCUUCAUCCUUGUGCCUGGCAUUGGACUCUUGGGAACUCUACUAUAAGAAAGAAGAGUCAGAGGACUAGCUCCUUGCUGAGUUUCUUGACUCACCCCUCCUAAAAUAAAAAUAAGAAAGAAAAGCAAAAAUGGAAAGGGAGAAUGUGGAAACAAGAAGGAAAGAAAUCAAGACCAAAGAGAAAGGAGACUAGAGGACCAAGAUAUGACAUGGGAGCCCAACUUAAACUGCUCAGGUUGGGGAAGAUCGCCAUAGAGUCAUUGGAAAGAGUUUCGAACCUCCAUCAGAGACC
Molecule: long non-coding RNA, 324 nt
Filed under: Elaeis guineensis (African oil palm)
Lineage: Eukaryota; Viridiplantae; Streptophyta; Magnoliopsida; Arecales; Arecaceae
Description: long non-coding RNA (EGUI_LNC037311)
Source: RNAcentral